This is a long non-coding RNA of Triticum aestivum (bread wheat), 1705 nucleotides long. RefSeq lists it as uncharacterized. The transcript has 2 exons. The record is from RefSeq and is a predicted model, not a curated record. NCBI's taxonomy places the organism in Eukaryota, Viridiplantae, Streptophyta, Magnoliopsida, Poales, Poaceae.
UUGCACAAAACUCCCUUGGUUCUACUAGUUUUGCUUCCAGAAUCAUCUCCUCCUUCCCAGAAACGCAACAGGCCCAAAAUCCUCCAACCCCGGCGUAGCUGGGCGAUAGCGAGCUUGCCGAUGGUGGCGGCGGGCCAGAUCCGGUGCCUAGCUGGGCGAUUGCGCCCAGUGGAGGUCCAGAUCCAGCACCCCCACCGUCUUGCUGCCGGCGUCCUCGCUGCCCCAGCAGAUCUCCUCGCGGACAAAUACUCUGCUCCAUCGUCCUGCCCCGGCGGACCGUCUCGAAGGUACUCUUCUCCGACGUCCAGUGGAAAACCUCACGCAUUCUUCACACGUCGCUCGCACCCCCGCGUCUAGCUCCGCCAUCUGGGAACGCUGGAGAAGAAAUCUCCCGUCUUCAGGUCGAAGCUCGUCGACUAGUACUAAGUUUGUUUUCCGCUAUUUUGCUGCUGCAUCUUGAAAUGAAAUGGAGGGAAGUAGUGAGACAUCGCUGUUAGGCGAGCCCAUAGUUCCAGUAAUUGCAAAAUUUGUACCAACACUAUCAGGUGACAAGACAUAGUCCAAAAAGGAAAGUAUAUUUUGUCAUUGCCCAAUUUUCCAUUAUCCCUUCUUUGAUGUUUUUUCCGUUAAUCCCUUCUUUGAUGAUUUUUGGUAUUGUUUAUACUCAUUACAAUAAAAUCAUAUUUUCUUUGUGUCUUUGCUGCUAAUUGCAAAGUACUUGAGCAAUAAGAGGCGCUUCUAAGCUGUUAGGAGUGGAAACCAACAGCUUCAGUGAACAUGCAAACAUCGUGGCCUGCACUUGUAGUGCUUCUGUCAGCAAAGAUGUGUGCAUUAAGGCAAUGCUAGGUCACAAUCUACAAUUAGCAGGAAAUGUCCAUUGGAGGGACUAGAUGGCUGAUUGUUUUGACCUACUUGCUGUGAAAAUUGAUACAAGUGAUCCGUCACUGUCAAGCUGUGAAUAUAUUUUGCCGUAUGAUAUUAUUUUCGUUUUCUCUUCACUGGUUUGACAUGUGCCUUUGUGCUACAACAUCAAGUUUUUACUUUUGUCAUCUACUCCCUCCGUUUGAAAAAGCUUGUCCCUCAAAUGGAUGUAUCUAACACCAAGUUAGUGCUAGAUACAUCCAUUUGAGGGACAAGUUUGGGACAAGCUUUUUCGGAAGGAGGGAGUACGAGUUAGCAAAACAACUUGAGUUGCACUCUUAAUUGUUCAAUACAUACAUGAUCAGUAUUAGAGAACAUAAUUUUUCCUAUUUCUUUCCUUGUAGUGUAAACUAUAUUUUUUUUCCUUGUAUUUGUAGAUGCAUGGUACUCUGACAAGCGGAAGCAUCAGGACUACAGAUGGAUAGAAAAAGCUUUUAUCAAAGUUCCCCCUUUCUGACAAUUGAGAGAAUUUCUCUGCAACUUGACUUUAACUCUGUUGUUGAUCAGGCAUCUGUACGUGUCUGUGCUCAACUGAAUCGUGUUUUCUUGGUGUGAUCCCUCCCAAAACAAGAAGCUUGAUGAAUGAUGAACAAGGAGUAGUAGAACAGGAGGGAAAUGCUAGAGCAUUUCUGUUAUGUACCAUCAAGAUACUAGAGCUUAUAAUUUUAAAUAACAAUGCUUGUUGAAUGGUGAUCAGAUUAGUCCUUAAUGCCUGUUGCUGGCCAUGUACCAAAGAUGGUGCUACCAUGUCUCAUCAAGAUAUUUAUGCUUGUGAUAUGCUCAA